Molecule: small nucleolar RNA, 214 nt
Organism: Suncus etruscus (white-toothed pygmy shrew)
Lineage: Eukaryota; Metazoa; Chordata; Mammalia; Eulipotyphla; Soricidae
Product: small nucleolar RNA U3
Exons: 1
Source: RefSeq, a predicted model, not a curated record
AAGACUAUACUUUCAGGGAAAAUUUCUAUAUUAUGUGACUAGAGAAGUUUCUCUGAUCGUGUAGAGCAUUCGAAGCCACAAGGAGUAGCCAGAGCAUCCUCUCCUGAGCAUGAAGCGAGCUCUAGGUGUUGCUUCUGUGGCUUCCUCUUGCUAUUGAUGAUCGUUCUUCCAUUCCUCCGGAGAGGGUAGAGGGAGAGGUUGCAGUCUGAGUGGU